RNAcentral lists this transfer RNA (602 nucleotides) under uncultured Loriellopsis sp. RNAcentral's name for it is "16S-23S ribosomal RNA intergenic spacer". The stretch from base 274 to 346 matches the Rfam family "tRNA". Lineage: Bacteria; Bacillati; Cyanobacteriota; Cyanophyceae; Nostocales; Symphyonemataceae. The record is from RNAcentral.
UUAGGGAGACCUACCCACUCUUAAGCUGAACGCAUUUUGUAAUUAAGCAAGAGUUGGUCAUCCCAAGGUCGUUGGGGUUUAGGUGUUGGCUUUCAAACUAUUCAGGUUCGGUUUUAUGGGCUAUUAGCUCAGGUGGUUAGAGCGCACCCCUGAUAAGGGUGAGGUCCCUGGUUCGAGUCCAGGAUGGCCCACCUUAGAAAGAAAGAAGAAAAAAGAGAAAAGAAAGGAUUUUCCCUUUUGUUUUUCAUUUUUCAUCUUUUAUCUUUCUUGUCUGGGGGUUUAGCUCAGUUGGUAGAGCGCCUGCUUUGCAAGCAGGAUGUCAGCGGUUCAAGUCCGCUAACCUCCACUGGUUAAUAGCGAAUCUCGUUAUUAGCCGAAUUGAAGAGGCUUCAGCAACUUAUCUAACUAGUUAUUGAGUUAGAGAGCCUGCUGGAGUGAGUCCAGUCAGAACCUUGAAAACUGCAUAGUACUUGUCAGGUAGAAGCCGAGGCAAUAGGCAAUAGGCAAUAGGCAACCGGAGUUAAUCCCAGCGCCCAGCGCCCAGCGCCCAGCGCCCAGGCAUCACAGACACCAAUGUGCAACUUGAGAAAGUUGUUGUAAGU